Molecule: ribosomal RNA, 298 nt
Filed under: uncultured bacterium
Lineage: Bacteria
Description: partial 16S ribosomal RNA
Rfam family: Bacterial small subunit ribosomal RNA
Source: RNAcentral
AACGAACGCUGGCGGCAUGCCUAACACAUGCAAGUCGAACGAGACCUUCGGGUCUAGUGGCGCACGGGUGCGUAACGCGUGGGAAUCUGCCCUGGGGUGCGGAAUAACUCGGAGAAAUCCGUGCUAAUACCGCAUAAUGUCUUCGGACCAAAGAUUUAUCGCCCUGGGAUGAGCCCGCGUAGGAUUAGCUAGUUGGUGGGGUAAAGGCCUACCAAGGCGACGAUCCUUAGCUGGUCUGAGAGGAUGAUCAGCCACACUGGGACUGAGACACGGCCCAGACUCCUACGGGAGGCAGCAG